AUCUUGUGUAUACAUUAGUGAUUACAUUGUCAUGUGAGGACUGUCUUCCUAGUAUGUAUGCAAAGUUGUUAGACAAGCAAAGGAUUCAUCAUGAGAACUUUUCAGAUCACUUCAAAGCCUUAUUUACGAAAGCUAUCUGCACAUAGAUUUAAGUGUUUCAAGUGAGCAAGGAUCAUAUUACUUAUAGCAGCAAACCGAAGUGAGCCGUGUGUUUUUGUUGAAACCAUUCGAUUAAAGGAAAAUGGUAGGUAUUAGAUUUGUACAGCUGCAUAGAUAUCACACUAAAAUCGGCGGUUCGCUCAAGUUUUAGUGAUUAUAUUUUUAGUGAUUAUAUUUUAUAACCUACAUCUAUACAUUUUAAGCCAUACUAAUCUUGCUUUGAUCUUGCGGAUCAUUACAUUCUAUUCUACACAUCUUCCUGGCCCUAGUUAUCACUGCCGUGAAGGCUCAGAAAUUGCUAGAUUGCCACCACCUGAAAAUAUACUUGAAGUAAUUCUGCUUAAUUGUAAGCAACUCAGUUUGUGGGCUUCAGAUCUUCAGAAAGAUGAAUUUUCCUGUAAUCUUGACAUUCAUUGGUGUUAUCUUGGCAUUCAUUUGUGCGGACAUACAAUAAGUAUGGCUAUGCAAGGUAAAAGUUUAAAGAAAGUUUAAAGUCAUAGUUAAUACUGCGUGCUUCUCUAAUAGGCAUCUCAACUUUCUCUUACAUCAUCUUUCAUUUAAAGCAAGAUGCACAAAACAAAGUUAUUCAAAGUCUGCAUGCAGGUUGAUCAAGACACUUUCUUGGUUGAUGGCUAUCAUGCAGAGCCUACUUAUAAUUGCGUCUCACAAGCAUUACUCAGUGGACGUUGUCGUUGCAUGGUACACUGUAAAUUUGGUGGUAUUUUUUAUUGACCAGAAAUUAACAGGUUUGUUUGCUUUUCUUCUUUAAGAUUUUUUUAUUGACCAGAAAUUAACAGGUUUGUUUGCUUUUCUUCUUUAAGAUUUUUUAUCAUGUUGUUUCUCGUAUGAGUCUUCGAAGCAUAUGGUUUUGGUUACCUGCAUAUUGUCAGCCCGAAUGUAGAUAUGCUUUUCUUUGUCCAAUCUAAGAUUGAAUCAGCAAUCACUUUCUCUUUCAUUUUUUUAGUCAGAAAUUGAUUCUCCUCAUAUAAACUGAAUGAUGAGCUCCAAUGAUUCUAGUUUCUUGAAAGUUUUAGAUGAACUAAAAACCUAGGUGCAUCCCCUUGAUGAACUGGAGAUGGAAAUGAUUUAGGCUAUGCUUUCUCUUUCAUAAUGAUGCACAGUUGCUUAUCCUCUUCCUACAGUUGGCGUAGGAAGCAAAGACUUCUGUGAUGCCUCAUUAAGAAAACUAUGUUAUUGUGUGCAGUUUAACAUCUAUAUAUCUCUGUGUGUGCGUGCGUGCGUGCGAGCUUGCGCGCAUGGUUUAAAAAACUAACACAUGUGGCUUUAAAAAUAAAAAUAAAAAUAAUAUAGUUGUUCUUUUUCUUUUUUUGUAGAACUGCCUGAUAGAACUGUCAACAGUGGAUCACUGUUGCCCCUGAACAACAGAGACAAAACCAAGGAGGAGAACAAGCAGCUGCUGAAUGAUACUGCUGAUAGGGUGUAACAAUGAAAUAGGGUAUAACAAUGAACAGGGAUUUUAGGUUUGUUGUCUUUCCUUUUUCUUUUCGGGUUUGGUGUGGUCCCUCGCAUUGCAAUGCUUGAAAUGAAUAAUUGUCAGUUCAACAAUUAUGUGGACUCUCGUGAGAGGUUUGAUGUUUGGUUAAUGUGUUUGUUAUGAUCCCUAUCCCAUUAAAAUUAUGUCUGUAUUUUUCCUUUGAUUGGGGUUAUUGUGGCAUUUUAAGGCGAGUUGUGAUGCUUAUUCAUAAGACAGGUUUGCACGUUCGAAAAAGUUGUGCUCUAUUUGAAUUUCUUUUUGAUGUGGCAUAAGUGGCUUUUUGUGGUAUUGGUUAUUGCAAUAAACAAUGUAUAUCAUUUUGUAAGUGAUGUAUUCAUUGAGUUCUUUGCGCUUGGAAUAGUAAAAAGAAAAAAAAAUACAUGAUUUUGGUAAUUUUAAUGCUAUCUUGUUCAAUAUGUUCAUGCUAUUCUUGAAUGGGUUAUGUACGUGCAUGUGCAUAUUUUGAUAAUUCAAAAAGUUUACAAAAAAGCCCCUUAAAUUUUGCAAAAAGUCCUCAAUAGUUUACAAAAAAACCCCUAAAAGUUUAUAAAAAACACCCUAAAAGUAUUAUACAUAUAUAUAGCUACUAUAGUUAAAUGGGCAAAUGGGUGGCCCGUUUAUUAAAUGGGCGGGUAAAAACCCGACCAUUUAGAAAAUGUUAAAUGGGUCAUAAAUGGGUAAAUGGACAAAACAUGCCCGCCCAUUUAUGGCCCGCCCAUUUAAUACCCAAACCUACCCAUUUAACAUCCCUAAUACGACCCUCAUCAAGUUGAUCUAUUUUGAGGUUGAUCUGACCAUCAUAUUCCAGAGGGAAACAUGCCUUAAUGAAAAUAAACUUAAAAAAAUAGCAAAGGCAUCAUGUGAAGUUUUUGAAUGUCUUAAAACAUACAUUAUAUAGAUAAUAAAUCAAUCAAGUACAAACUCCAGCCAGUUCCUUGAGUGUGUAUAUGCAUAUGCCCCAAUUCAAGUCCGCUUGCACAGACCUCAUAUUACCACUUGGAACAGCAUAUAGUGAAAAGCACAGGACUUGUUAGAUCAGAUGUUCAGCAGUAACUUAAAGCUGAAAAACUCAUCAUGUCAUGAUUAUGACAAAGUGGAAGUUUGGACUAUGGAGACCAUGGUCUCUAAGACACUAAUAAUUCAGAAGACAAAAGCAUCUAAAAGAUCAAAGAAAUUGAACCAGAAAUUACAUAAUGCAAUUAUGUUGAGACCCACACGGUGAAACAACACUAAAUCAUUGAUGGGUCAAAAUUAAAGAACAACAUCCUUAAUAUUACUAGUGACCAAA
Long non-coding RNA from Asparagus officinalis (garden asparagus), 2942 nucleotides. RefSeq lists it as uncharacterized. The transcript has 3 exons. NCBI's taxonomy places the organism in Eukaryota, Viridiplantae, Streptophyta, Magnoliopsida, Asparagales, Asparagaceae. The record is from RefSeq and is a predicted model, not a curated record.